CGGCGAGUGAAGCGGCAACAGCUCAAAUUUGAAAUCUGGCGUCUUAGGCGUCCGAGUUGUAAUUUGCAGAGGGAGUCUCGGAUUUAGGAUCGGCCCAAGUGCCUUGGAACAGGAUACCAAAGAGGGUGAGAGUCCCGUAUCCGGCCGAUACCGACGUCCGUGUGAGACCCCUUCGACGAGUCGAGUUGUUUGGGAAUGCAGCUCUAAAUGGGUGGUAAAUUCCAUCUAAAGCUAAAUACUGGCCAGAGACCGAUAGCGCACAAGUAGAGUGAUCGAAAGAUGAAAAGCACUUUGAAAAGAGAGUCAAACAGUACGUGAAAUUGUUGAAAGGGAAGCGUAUGUGGGCAGACUUGACCGCGGGAUUCAGCUCGUCUUCUGGCGGGUGUACUUUCUCGUGGGCAGGCCAGCAUCGGUUUCGGGGGUGAGACAAAGGCGUCGGGAAUGUGGCUCGCUUCGGUGAGUGUUAUAGCCCUUCGUGUAAUGUCACC
This 488-nucleotide ribosomal RNA is filed under the name Scolecobasidium sp. NH2212. Its description in RNAcentral is "eukaryotic LSU rRNA". It matches the Rfam family "Eukaryotic large subunit ribosomal RNA", at positions 87 to 580 of the family's 3401-position model. The record is from RNAcentral. Lineage: Eukaryota; Fungi; Ascomycota; Dothideomycetes; Venturiales; Sympoventuriaceae.